Molecule: ribosomal RNA, 726 nt
Filed under: Nocardia sp. Sp080513KE-18
Lineage: Bacteria; Bacillati; Actinomycetota; Actinomycetes; Mycobacteriales; Nocardiaceae
Description: bacterial SSU rRNA
Rfam family: Bacterial small subunit ribosomal RNA
Source: RNAcentral
GUGCUUAACACAUGCAAGUCGAGCGGUAAGGCCCUUCGGGGUACACGAGCGGCGAACGGGUGAGUAACACGUGGGUGAUCUGCCUCGUACUCUGGGAUAAGCCUGGGAAACUGGGUCUAAUACCGGAUAUGACCACGAAUCGCAUGGUUUGUGGUGGAAAGAUUUAUCGGUGCGAGAUGGGCCCGCGGCCUAUCAGCUUGUUGGUGGGGUAAUGGCCUACCAAGGCGACGACGGGUAGCCGGCCUGAGAGGGCGACCGGCCACACUGGGACUGAGACACGGCCCAGACUCCUACGGGAGGCAGCAGUGGGGAAUAUUGCACAAUGGGCGGAAGCCUGAUGCAGCGACGCCGCGUGAGGGAUGACGGCCUUCGGGUUGUAAACCUCUUUCGACAGGGACGAAGCGCAAGUGACGGUACCUGUAGAAGAAGCACCGGCCAACUACGUGCCAGCAGCCGCGGUAAUACGUAGGGUGCGAGCGUUGUCCGGAAUUACUGGGCGUAAAGAGCUUGUAGGCGGUUCGUCGCGUCGAUCGUGAAAACUUGCAGCUCAACUGCGAGCUUGCGGUCGAUACGGGCGGACUAGAGUACUGCAGGGGAGACUGGAAUUCCUGGUGUAGCGGUGAAAUGCGCAGAUAUCAGGAGGAACACCGGUGGCGAAGGCGGGUCUCUGGGCAGUAACUGACGCUGAGAAGCGAAAGCGUGGGUAGCGAACAGGAUUAGAUACCC